AUACGGAGGAUCCGAGCGUUAUCCGGAUUUAUUGGGUUUAAAGGGUGCGCAGGCGGCCAUUUAAGUCAGCGGUUAAAUCGUGGGGCUCAACCCCAUUCUGCCGUUGAUACUGGGUGGCUUGAUUGCGGUCGAGGUUGGCGGAAUUCGUUGUGUAGCGGUGAAAUGCAUAGAUAUGACGAAGAACACCGAUUGCGUAGGCAGCUGACCAGACCGCAAAUGACGCUCAUGCACGAAAGUGCGGGGAUCGAACAGGAUUAGAUACCCUGGUAGUCUGCACAGUAAACGAUGAAUACUUGUUUUCGGCGAUAUAAUGUCGGAGGCAAAGCGAAAGCGAUAAGUAUUCCACCUGGGGAGUACGCCGGCAACGGUGAAACUCAAAGGAAUUGACGGG
RNAcentral lists this ribosomal RNA (391 nucleotides) under uncultured bacterium. Its description in RNAcentral is "partial 16S ribosomal RNA". It matches the Rfam family "Bacterial small subunit ribosomal RNA", at positions 523 to 917 of the family's 1533-position model. The record is from RNAcentral.